Molecule: ribosomal RNA, 253 nt
Filed under: uncultured bacterium
Lineage: Bacteria
Description: partial 16S ribosomal RNA
Rfam family: Bacterial small subunit ribosomal RNA
Source: RNAcentral
UACAGAGGGGGCAAGCGUUAUUCGGAAUUAUUGGGCGUAAAGGGCGCGUAGGCGGCUUUGCAAGUGACGGGUGAAAUCCCACGGCUUAACCGUGGAACUGCCUGUCAGACUGGAAGGCUUGAGACCGGGAGAGGUGAGUGGAAUUCCCAGUGUAGCGGUGAAAUGCGUAGAUAUUGGGAGGAACACCAGUGGCGAAGGCGGCUCACUGGACCGGAACUGACGCUGAGGCGCGAAAGCGUGGGGAGCAAACAGG